This is a small nuclear RNA of Capra hircus (goat), 107 nucleotides long. The record is from Ensembl. Lineage: Eukaryota; Metazoa; Chordata; Mammalia; Artiodactyla; Bovidae.
GUGCUCACUUUGGUAGGAAAUAUACUAGAAUUGGAACCAUACAGAGAAGAUUAGCAUGGCCCCUAUGCAAGGAUGACAUGCAAAUGUGAGAAGCAUUCCGUAUUUUU